Long non-coding RNA from Homo sapiens (human), 761 nucleotides. RefSeq lists it as uncharacterized. The record is from RefSeq and is a predicted model, not a curated record. Lineage: Eukaryota; Metazoa; Chordata; Mammalia; Primates; Hominidae. The transcript has 2 exons.
UACAGGAGGUUGAUUUUGUGUUCCAAGCCUGUGAUCAUUAACUGUUUUCCAGCUCUACCAGCAUCCUGUCCAAGCCUUUAAGAUGAGGAACAAAUUCUAUGUGAGGAGAAAUGGCAAAAAUUGGUAUGCCUCUGCUUUUCUGAUUUCCCAUUCCCUUCCAUUUCUCUUAUUAACAAGUAAAAGUAAGGAAAUCCUGUCCUGUGGAUAACUUCCCAUUGACUUGCAGAGAGCUCAGACAUGCUAUGGUAGAUAUGGAUACUAUUUUGUUUUUGUUUUUUGAGAUGGAGUCUUGCUCAGUCACCCAGGCUGGAGUGCAGUGGCAUGAUCUCAGCCCACUGCAAACUCCGCCUCCCAGGUUCAAGUGAUUCUCCUGACUCAGCCUCCCGAGUAGCUGGGAUUACAAGCAGAUGCCACCACACCCAGCUAAUUUUUGUAUUUUUAGUAGAGACAAGGUUUAACCAUCUUUACUAAACAGACUAGGCCCGUCUUGAACUCCUGACUUCAAGUGAUCUGCCCGCCUCAGCCUCCCAACGUGCUGGGAUUAUAGGUGUGAGACACUGCACCUUGCCAAUGGUGAAUAUUGUUGAUUUAAAAUAAUAGAUAUAAUAAAUCUCCAAUCUCAGGGAAGUUUCCAAGUCCUAAAGUCAAAACUUCCGAUCUUGCCGUGUGCUUGAAUUAUCCUCAAUUAGAGUCCCUGCUGCUGUUGCAUGUCGCUGUAAUUAUUCUGUCAUCGUUAAUUCAAUGAAGCCUAUUAACCCACA